This is a ribosomal RNA of Lepisosteus oculatus (spotted gar), 119 nucleotides long. NCBI's taxonomy places the organism in Eukaryota, Metazoa, Chordata, Actinopteri, Semionotiformes, Lepisosteidae. The record is from Ensembl.
GCCAGCAGCCAUAUUACCCUGCAACUCACAACUGGCAACCCACUGAAGCUAAGCAGGUGUGAGCCUGGUCAGUACCUGGAUGGGAGACCUCUUGGGAAAAACUAAGGUUGCUGCUAGAA